RNAcentral lists this ribosomal RNA (101 nucleotides) under Paenibacillus sp. RU4T. RNAcentral's name for it is "partial 16S rRNA. Bacterial SSU". It matches the Rfam family "Bacterial small subunit ribosomal RNA", at positions 1 to 100 of the family's 1533-position model. Lineage: Bacteria; Bacillati; Bacillota; Bacilli; Caryophanales; Paenibacillaceae. RNAcentral also lists the same sequence under 1 other name. The record is from RNAcentral.
CUUUUGUGGAGAGUUUGAUCCUGGCUCAGGACGAACGCUGGCGGCGUGCCUAAUACAUGCAAGUCGAGCGGAUCUUGUCCUUCGGGACAAGGUUAGCGGCG